UGUAAACAAGCUUAAGAAGGAUGCCUUAGUAUAGAUAAAGGACAUUGUAUAAUUAAUGAAAAGAGACGAGGAACAAAAAAGCAGUGAUGAUUCGUUUAUAUCCUAGGGUAAACCAUUUUAUUAUAAAAAUUUUUAAUGAGAAUUAAAAUGAAAGACCUAAUGAAUUGAAACAUCUAAUUAGUUAGAGGUUUAAUGUUCUGUGGUAUUACUGGUGAGGGAACCCAUAAAAGAUAAAAAUUACUCAAUCGUAAUUUUUAUUUAGGCUUAUAACGGGGGUGAAUAGAAGAUGAAGGUUCGUGUGUGCUACGUGCUCCUAACCAAAGAGGGUUUUAGUCCCGUAGUUAUAAUUGUUUUCCCCUUUUUUUAAGUAAAAUGCCUGACGUUUGAAGGUAUUUGAAUAUGAAAGUAAUUACUGUCUAAAGCUGGAAUAUUUAUCUGUAACUGAUAGCGUAAUAGUAUCGUGAGAGAAAGGUGAAAAAGAGAAUCAAAUUUGAGGAUUAAAAGAAACUGAAAUUUUAAGCUUUUAAGCGGUUAGAGUAGAUUUAUUGAAUUUAUGAUAGCGUACCUUUUGCAGAAGGGUCCAGCAAGUUAAUUUGUAUAGCGAGCGGUUUGCGUAAAGAAAUUGAGUGUUAAUAGUGCGUUUUAGUUUUAUGAAUUAGACCCGAAACCAAAAGAUCUAAUCUUGAAUAGGCUGAAGUUCUGUGGUUAAAAUGGAGUGGAGGGCCGAACUCGUGUUUGUUGCAAUAAACUGGGAUAAUUUGAGAUUAGGAGUGAAAAGCUAAUCGAUUUUGGUGAUAGCUGGUUUUCUGCGAAAGCUAUUUAGGUAGUUCGUUCUUUUUUAUUUAUUGUGGUAAAGCACUUAUUAGUCUAGGGGGUUACUUAAUAGGUACCUUUGAACCUAGUAAAACUCAGAAUGUAUUUUAUAAUUUUUAGGAGGACAAGGCAGACAUGGGACGCGAAGGCCCUAUUGUCAAAAGGGAAACAACCCAGAUCAUCAGCUAAGGUCCCUAAUUGAGUUUUCAGUGUUUUAAAGGAUAUUUUUAUUUUAUGUAGAUAAGUUGGCUUAGAGGCAGCCAUCUUUUAAAGAAAGCGUAACAGCUCAUCGACAUUUUAAAUUUUACCGAAAAUUUAUAGGGACUAUAAAUAUUUAACCGAAGCUAUGGAUUGUUUUAUAUGAUAAUGGUAGUGGAAUGUUCUGUAGGUUUUAGAAGAUAAAUUGUGAAGUUUGUUGGAGGUAUCAGAAGUAUUAAUGCUGGAAUGAGUAAAGUUUAUUAAUGUUUUUUGGACAUUAACGCUGUAAGGCUAAGGGUUCCUUUAUAAGGUUUUUCCAUAAAGGGUUAAUCGGUCCCUAAGGUUUAGGUAUUAACCGUAGAUUAAUGGGUAAUAUUUUUAUAUUAGUAUAUUUUUAUUAAGUGACACAGAUUUGUAGGAGUUUGUUUUUUAUCGGUUUAAAAUUAACUCUUUAUUUUUGUUGAAAAAAAGCUUAUUUUUUUUAACCGUACUUAUAACUGACGCUAGUAGCUAGGUAGAGAAUAUUAAAGCGUGGAAAUAAUAAGGUCUAAGGAACUCGGCAAAAUGACUCAGUAACUUCGGGAGAAAGAGUGCUUUCCUCUAUGUAGGUGUUUUAGAAAUGAGAUAUCUAGCUUUUGAUUAAUAGAGAUGAAGUGACACAUAAUCGCAAGUGGCGACUGUUUAUUAAAAACACAGGACAAUGCUAAAUAGUAAUAUGAUGUAUAUUGUCUGACACCUGCUCAGUGCCUGAAAGUAAAGGCUGGAAACUAACGUUUUUGGUAUAAGCUCAGGUUAACAGCGGCUGUAACCUUGACGGUCUUAAGGUAGCGAAAUCCCUCGGUAGUUAAUUGCUGCCAUGCAUGAAUGGUGUAACGACUGCUUGGCUGUCUCAGGUUUUAUUUUAAUGAAAAUGUAGUAUCCGUGAAGAUACGGAUUUCCUGUAGCGGGACGUUAAGACCCUAUGCAGCUUUACUAUAAUCAUUUAUUGUUCGGGGAUAUUUAAGUAUGCAGGAUAGUUACUAGCUUAUUAUAUUUUAACGAAAGUUAAUUGUGGAGGCUUCCUUGAGAUAGUAAUUCUUUAAGUUUUUUGGACUAAUUUUUUUAAAAACAUUGUAUGAUUGGUAGUUUCACUGGGGCGGUGGCCUCCCAAAAGGUAACGGAGGCGUACAAAGGUAGUUAAAUCUUUUUAUGAAAGAUUAUUAGUAAUAUUUUUAAUAAUUGCUUGACUGUUUUGAUAGACAUAUCUGGCAGGGACGGGAGUCGGUUAUAGUGAUCCAGUAGCGCUUUUUAGUUAUGGCUAUUGCUUAUCGGAUAAAAGCUACGCUAGGGAUACAGGCUAAUAAUUCCUAAGAGUCCGUAUCGCCGGGAUUGUUUGGCACCUCGAUGUCGGCUCAUCUUUUCCUGGAUAUGUAGUUAGAUCCAAGGGUACGUCUGUUCGACGUUUAAAAAGGUACGUGAGCUGGGUUUAAAACGUCGUGAGACAGUUUGGUCCCUAUCUACUAUGGGAGUUAAAAAUUGAAAGGGUUGUGGGCUAGUAUGAGAAGACUGCAUCUAUCUUAAAAUUAUUCGUAUAUAUAUAUAUAUAAAUAAUACGGCUGUUUAGUUAUUGUAAUUUCUUUGGACAAGAUUUUGGACAAGACUUUGAACAAGAGUUAAUAUACAAAUGUGCAUCAAACCAAUUGUUUUUGGGUUAUAACAUUUUAUGUAUAUCUAGAAGCUACGUUUGUCGAAUAUAACCGCUGAAUUUAUAUAAGUGGGAAGAUUUCCUUAAUAUGAAUUUUUUGUUAAUUACUUUAU
RNAcentral lists this ribosomal RNA (2808 nucleotides) under activated sludge metagenome. Its description in RNAcentral is "bacterial LSU rRNA". It matches the Rfam family "Bacterial large subunit ribosomal RNA". The record is from RNAcentral.